Molecule: long non-coding RNA, 1112 nt
Organism: Daucus carota subsp. sativus
Lineage: Eukaryota; Viridiplantae; Streptophyta; Magnoliopsida; Apiales; Apiaceae
Exons: 2
Source: RefSeq, a predicted model, not a curated record
UGAAGGUCAAACCAAAAAGGUGCACAUCUAAGCUACUGUUGGGCAUGUAAUCGUAGACAAGAAGCAGUUCCUUUGCUUCCCAACAACAUCCCAGAAGUUUGACAAGAUUGUUGUGUUGCAGUUUGGCAAUCAAGGUGAUUUCAGCCUUGAACUCUUGUAGUCCUUGACCAGAGUUUUCUGAAAGCCUCUUAACUGCAAUUCUGGUUCCAUCCACUAGAAUACCCUGGAAGUAGAUUUCAUAAGUAAGAGCGCUGGAGAUUACAUUGAAAAGACACAAUUGUCUUGUGCUCAAUUAUAAUAAAGUAAUGACUACUUGUUUGGUAGAAGAGCGCGUACAAUGCUAAUCCCACUUUCUACAUUAUUUUGGUCUCAUUUUCAAGGCAUGUAAGCAAAAUGUACUUUGCAAGAAAGAUUGAUGAUUUGCUCCAUUGCAAUUCCAUUUUAAUGAAUCCCAAUUGUACUACCUUUCUCCAUGUUUGGCAAGAAAACAAGAACUUGAACUUUUAAACAAUCACGUAAACGUGCCACCUGCCACGAGUAUGAUAUUAUACUACUAUCCUUCAAAAAAAAAAAAAUACUAAUAUACUAAAAUUAGACUGGAGUCGGGAAGUCUGGGCUUGGUGGUGCACUCCCUCUAUGUUUGCUGCUCUCCAACGCUACCUUGGUACCUGAUCUAUAUAGCUCGCUGUAAACUUAAUUCUCAGGGAGUGCUGGUUGGUAGUUGUCUACUUGCAGUUUUAUGCAGGGGCUCUAAGCCUCUAACAAGCAUCUACCAGAGAACAUGUUCAAUGUUCCACGACAUAUGUAUUAGGGUAUUAGUCUUCGUGAUUAUACCUUGUACACUGGGCCAAAUCCCCCUUCUCCAAGCUUGUUUUCCCCAGAGAACUGUUGUGUAGCUCUCCGAAUGAGAUCUAAACGGAUCAGUGGAAAACUUUUAGGGUCCACUUGUAUUCUUCCAUCAUAAUCUCGAGGUGAGUUGUUAUCACCAAGUCUCUCCUCUGCAAGGUCAAGCAGCUGAAUUUCUGGGCUGAUCUCUUCAUUUUCUGCAAGACAAAUAGCUGUAAACAACAGUUGAAGAUAAAAAAAAUUUAAAUUUUUUAAUCUUAUGAUAA